This is a non-coding RNA of Bos taurus (domestic cattle), 73 nucleotides long. NCBI's taxonomy places the organism in Eukaryota, Metazoa, Chordata, Mammalia, Artiodactyla, Bovidae. The record is from Rfam.
UCCCUGUUGGUCCAGUGGUUAAGACUCUCCACUUCCACUGCAGGGGGCACGGGUUCAAUACCUGGUUGGGGAA